GUGGCUUAAUUCGACGCAACGCGAAGAACCUUACCAAGGCUUGACAUACACCGGAAACGGCCAGAGAUGGUCGCCCCCUUGUGGUCGGUGUACAGGUGGUGCAUGGCUGUCGUCAGCUCGUGUCGUGAGAUGUUGGGUUAAGUCCCGCAACGAGCGCAACCCUUGUUCUGUGUUGCCAGCAUGCCUUUCGGGGUGAUGGGGACUCACAGGAGACUGCCGGGGUCAACUCGGAGGAAGGUGGGGACGACGUCAAGUCAUCAUGCCCCUUAUGUCUUGGGCUGCACACGUGCUACAAUGGCCGGUACAAUGAGCUGCGAUGCCGUGAGGUGGAGCGAAUCUCAAAAAGCCGGUCUCAGUUCGGAUUGGGGUCUGCAACUCGACCCCAUGAAGUUGGAGUUGCUAGUAAUCGCAGAUCAGCAUUGCUGCGGUGAAUACGUUCCCGGGCCUUGUACACACCGCCCGUCACGUCACGAAAGUCGGUAACACCCGAAGCCG
RNAcentral lists this ribosomal RNA (495 nucleotides) under Streptomyces sp. RNAcentral describes it as "bacterial SSU rRNA". It matches the Rfam family "Bacterial small subunit ribosomal RNA", at positions 941 to 1429 of the family's 1533-position model. The record is from RNAcentral. Lineage: Bacteria; Bacillati; Actinomycetota; Actinomycetes; Kitasatosporales; Streptomycetaceae.